GCUUCGCGGUACCUUCACGGCGAUAUUGACGACGGCAAGACGGAAGCCCGGUGAGAGUCCGGCACGGUCGCGCCACUGUAAGCCCAGCACCAUCUGCCCGGCUCCACCGGGCAGAUGUACGCGAAGCAAGUCAGACCCGUAGCCGUCGUACCGAGCACCAC
Non-coding RNA from Streptomyces ipomoeae 91-03, 161 nucleotides. Lineage: Bacteria; Bacillati; Actinomycetota; Actinomycetes; Kitasatosporales; Streptomycetaceae. The record is from Rfam.